This 847-nucleotide ribosomal RNA is filed under the name Acinetobacter sp. AKB-2008-AU3. RNAcentral's name for it is "bacterial SSU rRNA". It matches the Rfam family "Bacterial small subunit ribosomal RNA", at positions 21 to 862 of the family's 1533-position model. Lineage: Bacteria; Pseudomonadati; Pseudomonadota; Gammaproteobacteria; Moraxellales; Moraxellaceae. The record is from RNAcentral.
GGCUCAGAUUGAACGCUGGCGGCAGGCUUAACACAUGCAAGUCGAGCGGAGUGAUGGUGCUUGCACUAUCACUUAGCGGCGGACGGGUGAGUAAUGCUUAGGAAUCUGCCUAUUAGUGGGGGACAACAUUUCGAAAGGAAUGCUAAUACCGCAUACGUCCUACGGGAGAAAGCAGGGGAUCUUCGGACCUUGCGCUAAUAGAUGAGCCUAAGUCGGAUUAGCUAGUUGGUGGGGUAAAGGCCUACCAAGGCGACGAUCUGUAGCGGGUCUGAGAGGAUGAUCCGCCACACUGGGACUGAGACACGGCCCAGACUCCUACGGGAGGCAGCAGUGGGGAAUAUUGGACAAUGGGCGCAAGCCUGAUCCAGCCAUGCCGCGUGUGUGAAGAAGGCCUUAUGGUUGUAAAGCACUUUAAGCGAGGAGGAGGCUACUGAAGUUAAUACCUUCAGAUAGUGGACGUUACUCGCAGAAUAAGCACCGGCUAACUCUGUGCCAGCAGCCGCGGUAAUACAGAGGGUGCAAGCGUUAAUCGGAUUUACUGGGCGUAAAGCGCGCGUAGGCGGCUAAUUAAGUCAAAUGUGAAAUCCCCGAGCUUAACUUGGGAAUUGCAUUCGAUACUGGUUAGCUAGAGUGUGGGAGAGGAUGGUAGAAUUCCAGGUGUAGCGGUGAAAUGCGUAGAGAUCUGGAGGAAUACCGAUGGCGAAGGCAGCCAUCUGGCCUAACACUGACGCUGAGGUGCGAAAGCAUGGGGAGCAAACAGGAUUAGAUACCCUGGUAGUCCAUGCCGUAAACGAUGUCUACUAGCCGUUGGGGCCUUUGAGGCUUUAGUGGCGCAGCUAACGCGAUA